UUGACCGACUUACUAUUGGUAUUGAGAUCCAUGGUUUUUCUUAGAUGGUGGAGAAUGAGAAUCUAGUGUUUGAAUUGGGAGACAUGGAUACGGCGAUGAGGGUUAGUCCAGGUUUGUCGGCAUAUUCUUGUUAUCCGAAAACGGGAUUGGAUUCGCUGAUUGAGUUUUCAAAGGAGAGUGCCGAUGGAGAUGUGGAGGGAUUAUGAAAUUCGUUUUGUGCCUGAAGUUAGGAAGAGGUUGUUGGAACGUGAUGCUAAUGGGAAGGUUAUGGAAGGGUGUUGUUAAAUUUUGUUUGAGCGAGUCUGGUUUUUGGUUUAGGGUGUGCACGUUUGGGUUUUUUGUCAAUUACGC
Molecule: long non-coding RNA, 351 nt
Filed under: Linum usitatissimum (flax)
Lineage: Eukaryota; Viridiplantae; Streptophyta; Magnoliopsida; Malpighiales; Linaceae
Description: long non-coding RNA (LUSI_LNC004795)
Source: RNAcentral